Molecule: long non-coding RNA, 276 nt
Filed under: Suricata suricatta (meerkat)
Lineage: Eukaryota; Metazoa; Chordata; Mammalia; Carnivora; Herpestidae
Description: lncRNA (ENSSSUG00005008590.1)
Source: RNAcentral
AAAGGACUCCUAAUACUCGUUUUUUGGAUUGCUGUGCCAUUGUUAAGGAGUUCACAGCGAUGUAGUGAUGGGUGAGACUGACAGAGCUUAACUCUCACCUCUUGUUCGCAUCUAACUAUUAAAUUUAGAAAUGGGCCAGGCACACAAAAGCGCUUCCAGGAUCUAUGUAGAAAGAAAUACAUUGCUGUGUGUUUGUAGCUCCGCCCAUCAUUUGAGGGUAAGUAGAAAAGAGGUUUGGCGUGGCUUUCAGAGGAAGUAAGGUGAAGAUUCUUCUCU